Molecule: non-coding RNA, 259 nt
Organism: Cinara cedri
Lineage: Eukaryota; Metazoa; Arthropoda; Insecta; Hemiptera; Aphididae
Source: the annotation of a GenBank genome assembly
UUGCAAAUCCCUAAAAUUUAAAAUAAAUAUAAUUUAUAAAUAAGACAUUGUGUUGGCUCAGUACACCGGUCCGCUCUGACUUUACUCUUAUAUUAGAGAAUGCGACAACUGUAGAAUGGGCAAAAUCCGAGUUAUAUGAGAUAAUACUCAGCGUGCCGAACAAUUUACAUCUAAAAAUUACACAAAUUUGCUAAGGAUAUGUAUACGCAAAUGAUAUUAAAUCUACCAGUUUCUAUCUAAAGAAAAUUAAAAUUAAUAA